This is a long non-coding RNA of Megalobrama amblycephala (Wuchang bream), 4121 nucleotides long. RefSeq lists it as uncharacterized. Lineage: Eukaryota; Metazoa; Chordata; Actinopteri; Cypriniformes; Xenocyprididae. The transcript has 6 exons. The record is from RefSeq and is a predicted model, not a curated record.
ACAUUACUUCAACUUUGGACCACAUUUGGUUAAUGUACGGCACAGUCAGCACUGGCUAACCAGAGUGUAAGCCUAAACUGGCCCACAUAUAAUGCAGCAAAUGUGGCCCAGUUAUCUUAAAACAUAUCUGGGCCAGUUUUGGCUAAAUUGUGGGACAGUAAUAACUGGCGAUUCUGAAUGUGAACCUAAAGUGGCCCACAAAUGGCAUAACAACUAUGGGCCAGAUACAUUAUUUCAACUUUGGACCACAUUUGGCUAAUGUACGGCACAGUCAGCACUGGCUAACCAGGAUGUAAGCCUAAACUGGCCCACAUAUAAUGCAGCAAAUGUGGCCCAGUUAUCUUAAAACAUAUCUGGGCCAGUUUUGGCUAAAUUGUGGGACAGUAAUAACUGGCAAAUCUGUAUGUGAACCUUAAGUGGCCCACAAAUGGCAUAAUAAAUAUGGCCCAGAUACAUUAUUUCAACUUUGGACCACAUUUGGCUAAUGUACGGCACAGUCAGCACUGGCUAACCAGGAUGUAAGCCUAAACUGGCCCACAUAUAAUGCAGCAAAUGUGGCCCAGUUAUCUUUAAUCUUAUCUGGGCCAGUUUUGGCAAAAUUGUGGGACAGUAGUCACUGGCAAUUCUGAAUGUGAACCUAAAGUGGCCCACAGAUGGCAUAACAAAUAUGGCCCAGAUACAUUAUUUCAACUUUGGACCACAUUUGGCUAAUGUACGGCACAGUCAGCACUGGCUAACCAGGAUGUAAGCCUAAACUGGCCCACAUAUAAUGCAGCAAAUGUGGCCCAGUUAUCUUAAAACAUAUCUGGGCCAGUUUUGGCUAAAUUGUGGGACAGUAAUAACUGGCAAAUCUGUAUGUGAACCUUAAGUGGCCCACAAAUGGCAUAAUAAAUAUGGCCCAGAUACAUUAUUUCAACUUUGGACCACAUUUGGCUAAUGUACGGCACAGUCAGCACUGGCUAACCAGGAUGUAAGCCUAAACUGGCCCACAUAUAAUGCAGCAAAUGUGGCCCAGUUAUCUUUAAUCUUAUCUGGGCCAGUUUUGGCAAAAUUGUGGGACAGUAGUCACUGGCAAUUCUGAAUGUGAACCUAAAGUGGCCCACAGAUGGCAUAACAAAUAUGGCCCAGAUACAUUAUUUCAACUUUGGACCACAUUUGGCUAAUGUACGGCACAGUCAGCACUGGCUAACCAGGAUGUAAGCCUAAACUGGCCCACAUAUAAUGCAGCAAAUGUGGCCCAGAUAUCUUAAAACAUAUCUGGACCAGUUUUGGCAAAGAUGACAGAGUGUAAUCACUGGCGAUUCUGAAUGUGAACUCCAACUGUACUCCAUUACUCCAACUUUGGACCAUAUUUGGCAUAUGUAUGGCACAGUCAGCACUGGCCAACCAGGGUGUAAGCUCAAAAUGGAACAGUAAGCAUGUUAAUAGUUCAUAACAAUUAGGUCCAAUGUUGGUAAAUAUUUGGUACAGUUGACACAGCAAAUAUGCUCUAAAUAUCAUAAAAAAACUAGGCUACUUCUGGCUUUGUAUGGAGCACCUUUUAAAACUGGUUAAUUUAAAUGUAUAGCUAAAAAUGGAGCUGAAAAUAUAUCAUUAAUACUUUUCAGGGAUAUUUGAUGUAGGAUGCAACACUUAAUUGUACAGGCUAAUCUGGAGAAGGCAGAUAUUUCAGGUUUUUUUAACAUAACUUUAUUGGUGUGUUUGUGUGUACAGGUAUAUGUGGUUUGUGAGGACACAAAUAUCUAUAAUGACAUUUGCAUUACAACCAAAUGGGUUAAAAACAUACAAAACUUUUUUCUUUUUUUAAUUCAAAACAUGCAGAAAGUUGUGUGUGGUGGGUAGGUUUAGGGCUAGGGGAGGGGGGAUGUACAAUAAAUGGGGAAGGGGGGUAAUAAUAAAUGAUGUUUUUGGAAAAUGUAAAUUGUAGAAAGUUUUCUGUGAUGGGUAGGUUUAAUGUAGAGGGAUAGGUUAUGCAGUUUGUACAGUAUAAAAACCAUUAUGUCUCUGCAUGGUCCCCAUAAAACAUGAAAACACAGCAUGUAUGUGUGUCUGUACUGUAGAGCAGAAACACAGAUGUGCACUAUUACAGCUCUUACAGUCAGUUAUGCUGUACAUGUACUGUAAGUAAAGUGUCUGAUUGAGAAAUGUGUACAACAUAGUUAAAAUUAGUGAACUAUGGUCUUGGAACAUAUAUUUAGUAGAGUGACAUUUUGAGCUGCUGUAUGUUAAAAUCUUUGCCAUGGUUUCAAGCAGAACAUAUUCCACUGUCCAUGUUUUGUUGAACUUGUAACAAUAUCCCAAGGACAAGUUAGUCCUAAUGCUACCCUAAACCUAACCCAACCCAUUAUCCUUAAAGUAAAUGAUAACCGGCACAAAACCCUGGUUGUAUGCAUAAACUUGACAUAAACUGUAAACUUGUCACUCAAAUAUGAUUGGUUGAAUGAAAUGCAGGAUUAACAAUGUAAGCAGGCAGUGUCAUUUUAUAAACUGCUUCAAGUGACCCUGAUAUUGUAAAAAGUACAUAAAUGAAUGAAUGAAUAAACUAAUAAAUAAAACAUUACAAAACAAACAUUAAUACAAAUAUUUAUUUUGCCUUACAUUUUAACUGAAUAUUGACAUUUAGAUUUAUAAAUGACUUUUUUAUUAGUAAAAAUAGCCUGUCAUAUUAUUAAUUGAUAAAUUAAAUUAUGAAUGGGUAAAUCAGCACAGCAUAAAACUGCAAUGAGAACAUUGUUUUUUGAUAUUAUUUGAUUUGAUAUUAGGCUAUUAACUUUUCAAACAUUUUGUAUUUUUAUUUUAUUAUUAUUAUCAUGUUAUAGGCUUCAGCUAACUUUAUUAGAGAUCAUUAUUUAAUAGAAUUCAAACUGGUUCGAAUUCCUAUUUCCGGCCCUUUAAAUUUAAAAGUAGGCGCGCGGAAAAGGCGCCUAAACAGCAGAGAGGAUCGGCUGGAGAAUUGACGGUUGAAAACUGCACAAAGUAAAGUCAAGAUCCUCCUGCUGUAAAAACCAGCAUUGACCAGCAUGAAUUCCCUUUCACUCACUGUUUCCCAACCUGCAGUCGGUUCAGCACGAAACAUCAGGCUCACAGCAACAGAUUAAGAAGAAUCCUGCAUCAAAAGAUGACUUCAACUUGCAUGUGAGACAGAGUGAGAAGAGAAAAAGAGGAAUGAAGAUGGACUGUCUAAGAAACCUGUUUUGUUCAUAACGGAACUUGCAUCUAUCUCCCACGAAUGUAGAAUGCUGAAGGCGAGCAGAAAUGAGAAAAGUUAUGCUACAGCUCUCUGUUUGCAGCACGUCAGUCACGCUCGUCGGGAAAGUUACCAUAGUCAGCUGGAUCCCCUCCAAAUCCAGAUCAGAUGGUGGACCUGCAUCUUGGCAUGACCACGACGCAAGCCUAAAUGUCAACGAAGACCAUGUCAACUAGACAAGCCAGACAGAUCCCCUGUGAGAACUUCGUUGACAGCCAUCGGCAAAGAUCCUCAGCAAAGACCACAAGAACCAGACAAGUCCUCUGCACAGACCCCUACGGCUAGCUUCAACUCUAUGCCGGCGUGUUGUAUCUUGAUCUUCAAACUGAUGGAACCAUAUGAAAUAUUCUAGAUUAUACCAAUCCACAAUCUGACUUGUGUUGCUGCCUGAAUCACAUCACACCAUAUUCGUUCAUUGGCCAGAGGAGAACUGGUCCCUGACUGAGCCUGGUUUCUCCCAAGGUUUUUUUUUCUUCUCCAUUUUUGUAACCUGAUGGAUUUUGGGUUCCUUACCCCUGUUGCCUUUGGCUUGCUAAGUUUGGGACACUUAAUAUUCAGCAAUAAUAUUGAUUUGAUUGCACUGACACUAUCAUAUGAGAACUGAACUGAGCUGGACGAUGACAUCACUGUUUUUUGCAGAGCUGCUUUAUAACAAAUUGAACUGAUUUCAUAAUUGAUUAACUUUAUACAGCUAUUGAACAGAACUGAAUUAAAACAUACUGACUUCAGCUGAACAAUGACACUAUUUCUUUUAGAGCUGCUUUACAGCAGAAUUGAACUGGAAUAAUUGAAUCAUUCUCCUGUUUAUACCUGUAAAGCUGCUUUGAAACAGUCUAUAAAGUGUUAAAUUAAAGGUGACUUGACUUUUGAAAUA